CCUACGGGUGGCAGCAGUAGGGAAUAUUGCUCAAUGGGGGAAACCCUGAAGCAGCCACGCCGCGUGGAGGAUGAAGGUUUUCGGAUUGUAAACUCCUUUUGUUAGAGAAGAUAAUGACGGUAUUUAACGCAUAAGCACCGGCUAACUCCGUGCCAGCAGCCGCGGUAAUACGGAGGGUGCACGCGUUAAUCGGAAUCACUGGGCGGAAAGAGCGCGUAGGCGGGAUAGCAAGUCAGAUGUGAAAUCCUAUGGCUUAACCAUAGAACUGCAUUUGAAACUGUUAUUCUAGAGUAUGGGAGAGGGAGGUAGAAUUCUUGGUGUAGGGGUAAAAUCCGUAGAGAUCAAGAGGAAUAC
RNAcentral lists this ribosomal RNA (354 nucleotides) under uncultured bacterium. Its description in RNAcentral is "partial 16S ribosomal RNA". It matches the Rfam family "Bacterial small subunit ribosomal RNA", at positions 338 to 709 of the family's 1533-position model. The record is from RNAcentral.